CAUGUUACAGUCACCUAUUCGAUGUGCCGGUAAACCACACACGCUCCACCGAACUAUGACAAACAUUGAGUCACCCUUUGCUACCUUUGCUUAGAACCAUUUAGUGUGCCGGUUAACCACACACGCUCCACUAACGUCUUCGCAAGGGCACAAAGUGUAAUUUCAUGGAAUUGCAUCAAUUCACUUUUGCCUAAGUAACUAAGAUUGNACCGAACUAUGACAAACAUUGAGUCACCCUUGGCUACCUUUGCUUAGAACCAUUUAGUGUGCCGGUUAACCACACGCGCUCCACUAACGUCUUCACAAGGGCACAAAGUGUAAUUUCAUGGAAUUGCAUCAACUCAUUUUUGCCUAAUUUAACUAAGAUUGGGAAUUUGUAAAACAUUUAGUUACUUUUGUAUUUCAUUAUAUUUAUAAUGGAAAGUUAUGUCCUAUCCUACCGGUUCGGCUAAUGACCCUCCACUUGUCAAGAGUGCGGUGGGUAAGAGUGGAUACCCAUUCAAUCGCCAUUUUAUAGGCAAUUUCCUUAAACACCCCUUAUAGACUAGCUUCGUGAAUGAGGCCUACUA
This 569-nucleotide long non-coding RNA is filed under the name Lactuca sativa (garden lettuce). RNAcentral describes it as "long non-coding RNA (LSAT_LNC007209)". Lineage: Eukaryota; Viridiplantae; Streptophyta; Magnoliopsida; Asterales; Asteraceae. The record is from RNAcentral.